GUUUGAGAUUGUUUUAUUUCACUUGAAACAUUAAACCUUCUAAUUGAUACACUCUAGUUAGAUCACACACUGCGGGACAGCAGAGACGCUGCCUCCGCAACGCCGCUGCAUCCCCUGGCAGUCAAUGAGCGACUUUGUCAGCCGGGAGGAAUACCUUCUGGAAACUUCCCUCCGCUCCCCCGCCAGCCAAGGAGCCCGGUGCCCUGUGGAAAGUAAGCGUGUGGGUCUGGAAGCCAGAUCUCACCUCUGCACCAAAGGCCUGUACUCACCCGGAAGUCUCCCGGGUCAUCCCGUCAGAAAUCCCGAAGGGAGGACUGUGGUGCGUCCUGCGUAGGCCAAGGGGAGGAGCUCCUGCCCCACUGACCUUCCCUCCCAACUGGAAGUCUCACCAAGUCCCGCCAUUCAUAAACAAAGGGCGGCACUGAUGCGAGCCGGUGAGCAAGGGUGCGGAAGGCCUCUGCGUGGCUGCCACCAAAUGCUCAUCGGCACUUCAAGGGCUCCUUAAAAGAGUCAGGUCUCCCAGACCUCAAGGGAACGCUGCUAUCAGAAGACCAAAGGAAAAACAAAAUACCGUGGACGUCCUGUUUUUUACCUUACUGAGAAAAUCUGCCACCAAACACCUGAUUAUUAGAUGGCAAAUAAUCCCCCACACACACACAUAUCCACUGUAUGGGAGACUGGGGCCUUACAUAUAUCAGGGAAGCACUCUCUACUGAGCUAUGUCCCCAUCCCUUUUUAAUUUAUUUUUGGUUUUAUUUUUAGACAAGCCCUUAUUAAAUU
Molecule: long non-coding RNA, 780 nt
Filed under: Chinchilla lanigera (long-tailed chinchilla)
Lineage: Eukaryota; Metazoa; Chordata; Mammalia; Rodentia; Chinchillidae
Description: lncRNA (ENSCLAG00000029123.1)
Source: RNAcentral